RNAcentral lists this ribosomal RNA (340 nucleotides) under uncultured bacterium. Its description in RNAcentral is "bacterial SSU rRNA". It matches the Rfam family "Bacterial small subunit ribosomal RNA", at positions 335 to 662 of the family's 1533-position model. The record is from RNAcentral.
ACUCCUACGGGAGGCAGCAGUGGGGAAUAUUGCACAAUGGGCGCAAGCCUGAUGCAGCCAUGCCGCGUGUGGUGAAGAAGGCCCUUCGGGUUGUAAAGCACUUUCAGUUGUGAGGAAGGUUGGUGUCGUUAAUAGCGGCAUCCAUUUGACGUUAGCAACAGAAGAAGCACCGGCAUAACUCCGUGCCAGCAGCCGCGGUAAUACGGAGGGUGCGAGCGUUAAUCGGAAUUACUGGGCGUAAAGCGCAUGCAGGUGGUUUGUUAAGUCAGAUGUGAAAGCCCGGGGCUCAACCUCGGAACUGCAUUUGAAACUGGCAGACUAGAGUACUGUAGAGGGGGUA